Molecule: small nucleolar RNA, 138 nt
Organism: Phragmites australis (common reed)
Lineage: Eukaryota; Viridiplantae; Streptophyta; Magnoliopsida; Poales; Poaceae
Product: small nucleolar RNA Z247
Exons: 1
Source: RefSeq, a predicted model, not a curated record
CCUCUGAUUGAUGAAGAAAUUAUCUCUUAUAUUCUCGCAGGCCUAGAUGCAAAUUAUGGCCCUCUUGUGACAUCUGUGACCACACGGGCUGGACCAAUGACCCUUAACGAUCUCUUUGGCAUCUGAUGAGUCAUGAGA